This is a long non-coding RNA of Alligator mississippiensis (American alligator), 545 nucleotides long. RefSeq lists it as uncharacterized. The transcript is spliced from 3 exons. NCBI's taxonomy places the organism in Eukaryota, Metazoa, Chordata, Crocodylia, Alligatoridae. The record is from RefSeq and is a predicted model, not a curated record.
UGGAAACAUUGUCUGGCUGCAAGUCUGUAUGAAACAUCUUGGAGGUUUUCAGAGGAUGGCUGAAGGGUCCUCUUCUGCUGUAUGAAGUAAUGGCUUUCAUUGUGAACAGGAGUACAGAAGAAGUGUUUUGAAUACUCACGGUUAGAUAUAACAUAUUGUCUUCUUCCAUCAAACUCUGAGCUGCCAGGUGCGUCUACUCUGAAAAUGAAAGAGGUGGAAUUAUUAAAAGUUAGAUGCCUGAAUGUAGAUUCUGAAGCAACAAGAAUUUCCAGCCAGUGGAAUAAAGGAUGUUACAUGAAGAAGGAUAUUGCUUUAGAAGAAAGCUCUAACAUCUUUAGACACAAGCAAUUACGUGCAAAGGGAGCUGUGGCAAUACAAAGAUAAAUGUAAAGUCCUUUUGAAAUCUUGCUUCCUGUACUCCCUACAUGAAUAUGGACUGUAGCAUGAUUGUCUAAUUUUCAUAGGGAUUAAUUUUCCUCCCAUUGAAUGUAAUGGCAACAUUCCCAUUCAUUUAAAUGGCAACAAGACUAUUCUUUAGUCAUGAA